Molecule: ribosomal RNA, 1864 nt
Filed under: Salmonella enterica
Lineage: Bacteria; Pseudomonadati; Pseudomonadota; Gammaproteobacteria; Enterobacterales; Enterobacteriaceae
Description: partial 23S ribosomal RNA
Rfam family: Bacterial large subunit ribosomal RNA
Source: RNAcentral
GGAAGAUGUAACGGGGCUAAACCAUGCACCGAAGCUGCGGCAGCGAACGUAUCACUUAAAGCGAUUCAGCGGGUUACGAUUGACGGAGCGAAGCGACGUCAAAGCGUAUACAAAGUCGAGUCGGUUUAAGGAUACGUUCGUUGGGUAGGGGAGCGUUCUGUAAGCCUGCGAAGGUGGCCUGUGAGGGUUGCUGGAGGUAUCAGAAGUGCGAAUGCUGACAUAAGUAACGAUAAAGCGGGUGAAAAGCCCGCUCGCCGGAAGACCAAGGGUUCCUGUCCAACGUUAAUCGGGGCAGGGUGAGUCGACCCCUAAGGCGAGGCCGAAAGGCGUAGUCGAUGGGAAACGGGUUAAUAUUCCCGUACUUGGUGUUACUGCGAAGGGGGGACGGAGAAGGCUAUGUUGGCCGGGCGACGGUUGUCCCGGUUUAAGCGUGUAGGUGUGUGUUCCAGGUAAAUCCGGUUCACUUUAACACUGAGGCGUGACGACGAGGCACUACGGUGCUGAAGCAACAAAUGCCCUGCUUCCAGGAAAAGCCUCUAAGCAUCAGGUAACAUCAAAUCGUACCCCAAACCGACACAGGUGGUCAGGUAGAGAAUACCAAGGCGCUUGAGAGAACUCGGGUGAAGGAACUAGGCAAAAUGGUGCCGUAACUUCGGGAGAAGGCACGCUGACACGUAGGUGAAGUGAUUUACUCAUGGAGCUGAAGUCAGUCGAAGAUACCAGCUGGCUGCAACUGUUUAUUAAAAACACAGCACUGUGCAAACACGAAAGUGGACGUAUACGGUGUGACGCCUGCCCGGUGCCGGAAGGUUAAUUGAUGGGGUCAGCGCAAGCGAAGCUCCUGAUCGAAGCCCCGGUAAACGGCGGCCGUAACUAUAACGGUCCUAAGGUAGCGAAAUUCCUUGUCGGGUAAGUUCCGACCUGCACGAAUGGCGUAAUGAUGGCCAGGCUGUCUCCACCCGAGACUCAGUGAAAUUGAACUCGCUGUGAAGAUGCAGUGUACCCGCGGCAAGACGGAAAGACCCCGUGAACCUUUACUAUAGCUUGACACUGAACAUUGAGCCUUGAUGUGUAGGAUAGGUGGGAGGCUUUGAAGUGUGGACGCCAGUCUGCAUGGAGCCGACCUUGAAAUACCACCCUUUAAUGUUUGAUGUUCUAACGUGGACCCGUAAUCCGGGUUGCGGACAGUGUCUGGUGGGUAGUUUGACUGGGGCGGUCUCCUCCUAAAGAGUAACGGAGGAGCACGAAGGUUGGCUAAUCCUGGUCGGACAUCAGGAGGUUAGUGCAAUGGCAUAAGCCAGCUUGACUGCGAGCGUGACGGCGCGAGCAGGUGCGAAAGCAGGUCAUAGUGAUCCGGUGGUUCUGAAUGGAAGGGCCAUCGCUCAACGGAUAAAAGGUACUCCGGGGAUAACAGGCUGAUACCGCCCAAGAGUUCAUAUCGACGGCGGUGUUUGGCACCUCGAUGUCGGCUCAUCACAUCCUGGGGCUGAAGUAGGUCCCAAGGGUAUGGCUGUUCGCCAUUUAAAGUGGUACGCGAGCUGGGUUUAGAACGUCGUGAGACAGUUCGGUCCCUAUCUGCCGUGGGCGCUGGAGAACUGAGGGGGGCUGCUCCUAGUACGAGAGGACCGGAGUGGACGCAUCACUGGUGUUCGGGUUGUCAUGCCAAUGGCACUGCCCGGUAGCUAAAUGCGGAAGAGAUAAGUGCUGAAAGCAUCUAAGCACGAAACUUGCCCCGAGAUGAGUUCUCCCUGAGACUUAGAGUCUCCUGAAGGAACGUUGAAGACGACGACGUUGAUAGGCCGGGUGUGUAAGCGCAGCGAUGCGUUGAGCUAACCGGUACUAAUGAACCGUGAGGCUUAACCUU